GAUGAACGCUGGCGGCGUGCCUAAUACAUGCAAGUUGAGCGAACAGACGAGGAGCUUGCUCCUCUGACGUUAGCGGCGGACGGGUGAGUAACACGUGGAUAACCUACCUAUAAGACCGUGAUAACUUCGUGAAACCGGAUCUAAUACCGGCUGAUAUAUUGAACCGCAUUGUUCAAUAGUGAAAGACGGUUUUGCUGUCCCUUAUUGAUGGAUCCGCGCCGCAUUAUCUAGUUGGUAAGGUAACGCCUUAACAAGGCAACGAUGCGUAGCCGACCUGCUAGGGGGAUUGGCAACCCUGGAACUGAGACACGGUCCAGACUCCUACGGGAGGCAGCAGUAGGGACUCGUCCGCAAUGGGCGAAAGCCUGACGGCGCAACCCCUCGUGAGGGAUGAAGGUCUUCGGAUCGUAAAACUCUGUUACUAGGGAACAACAAAUGUGUAAGUAACUAUGCACGUCUUGACGGUACCUAAUCAGAAAGCCACGGCUAACUACGUG
This 497-nucleotide ribosomal RNA is filed under the name uncultured bacterium. Its description in RNAcentral is "partial 16S ribosomal RNA". It matches the Rfam family "Bacterial small subunit ribosomal RNA", at positions 28 to 507 of the family's 1533-position model. The record is from RNAcentral.